This is a long non-coding RNA of Zophobas morio, 588 nucleotides long. RefSeq lists it as uncharacterized. The record is from RefSeq and is a predicted model, not a curated record. NCBI's taxonomy places the organism in Eukaryota, Metazoa, Arthropoda, Insecta, Coleoptera, Tenebrionidae. The transcript has 3 exons.
UUGUAAAUUUUUGAAGCCAUCAAGACCUGUCUUUUUGGACUGCUCUUCUGAUAGUGCUACGCUUUGUAUUGUUUAGCCUUUUUGCGCUUUACUCAUCGAGUUUUACCCAAAACUAGCGCUGCAUUUUUGUUUCGACGGAGUGCUGUUAGAAUUUAACCACUCCGUGGAAGCUGUAGCACCCCCACCUUAUUCACCCCAUCCCACCACCCUAGAAUACGGUGGCGAGAAAGUAAGUGUGACGGGGUGGGGUAAAUAGGGUGGGGGUGCUACAACUUGUAUAUAAGGAUGAAACAAACCCACGACGUUUAGUCUUAAUGUUGACGUCACAGCGCUAACAUACCAGACACUUCCAUCACCACAAAACUAUAUUUCCAAACCAUGGCUCUACAAAGAUGUUCAUCGCCAACUCGCACUGUCGAGAGACACACUUCCACACAGGAGGAACUUGACUCCACCUGCAGGGAAUAUAGAAAUUUCGUCAAAAAUUUCGAGAAGCCCGAGGAUUUGACGAAAAUAAUGACGAUCCGAGGAGUUGGAAGGGCGCACCUCCCAGGAAUUAUUUCUGGAAAUUUGAGGGUCCGGCAGACA